UUUUUUUUUAAUUUUUUAAUUUUUCUUUUUUUCUUCUCUUUGGUGUUUCCCUUGAGGACAUGGAAUAGUUGUAUUGAAUUAAAAUAUGACUUUCUUUUUCUUCCCUUAAUUUUAUUUUAUUUGUAAUUUGCCUUCUUAAACAUAGAAUGAUAGACUUUCCAAAACUAACAAGCACUUGCAGCUAGUUUCCCUAUCACAAAUAUAAGUUACGACAACAACAAUAGUAUGAACUAUGAAGAGAAGCAGAGAGAGGCACACUUCCAUGGGGCGUAGACCAUCUAGUCCGAGUCCUUCACGGCGCACGCAUUCCAUCUCUGCUGAUUAUGGACCAAGAAGGGACAUGAUGUUCUAGGUGUCCAACUGAUUAUUGGGCUAUCGCACCAUUGGAUUUGACAUGUUUCGUCAGGGUGAAGGUGGAAAUCAAAUAAAAUUUAUACGAGAUUCAUGUCCUUGAAAUUCACCGGAGUUUCACGGCUAAAGUUUUUAUGCUGAACCUUCAACUUGCCGCCUUGCACAUUCCAAAACUCUUUUAGUUUGCGUGCACUUAUAAGCAACCACAUCAAAAAAAUUUUGACACACUUGAGUUGUAUGAUGAAAAUGGACUUAUCUGUAUAUGUAAGAAUAGGUUUCUGAUACCCGCCGCUGUGAUACUUAAUGCUCACAUCUUAGGGGCCCGAAAUGGAAGAGACAAUUCAUCUAAUUAACAUGACACAGUCCUAUUAGCUAUACAAAAACUGGAACGAACAAACUCUUUCACCGGUCGAAAGGAUUGCCACUUC
Molecule: unclassified non-coding RNA, 779 nt
Filed under: Hevea brasiliensis (rubber tree)
Lineage: Eukaryota; Viridiplantae; Streptophyta; Magnoliopsida; Malpighiales; Euphorbiaceae
Source: RNAcentral